RNAcentral lists this long non-coding RNA (684 nucleotides) under Triticum aestivum (bread wheat). RNAcentral's name for it is "long non-coding RNA (TAES_LNC009721)". The record is from RNAcentral. Lineage: Eukaryota; Viridiplantae; Streptophyta; Magnoliopsida; Poales; Poaceae.
CGGCCACUCAGCGGCGGCGCGCCGACUGGUAAGACGACGGACCAUCUUGAUCACAUUCUUCUUCUCCUUCUUGAUGAGUUGCAAAUCUGCGUGUUCUUUUCUUUUUGACAAGAAUACUUCCAUCUUUUGUUCUGAUCGAUGAUUUCUGUUCUUGCAUUGCAAUUUCUGCAGAUGCAGUUGACACCGACGUCUGCGUGCAGAACUGCAACAGGAAGCUGAGCCAGAUGGCCCAGACUGAUUAACCGCCAAACCGCUCUGUUUUAGGAGAAGAGAAGAAGAUUUGAAGAGCUACCUUGUCGAUCAUGGGAUCAUUACAUAUAUAUGAAUAUGAUGUUGAAUGGCUGUGAUUGUAGCAGCAACCAAUAAAUUGAGUAUGUCGGAUAUGUAAGGCAUAAUAUACAUAAUAUGAAGUUAAAUUGGCUUUGAUUUGGCAUUUCCAAAGUUUUUUGUCUUUUUUGCGACGAAAAAGUGCGACCUUUUCCCCCUUAACUUAACCCAGAGAUGAGAAAAAUUUAGGCAACUGAUACAACACCCAAGGCUUCAUAGCAUCUUAAAAAAAGAAUGAAAAGUAGCACUGGAACCAUAUAUUAGAACCAUAUAUGUAGUAGCAAAUAAUACCAGGCUAAGGCAAGUGCAAAUUCAGUUCAACUCACAAGAACUUCUUCCCAACAUUCCUAACAUUCA